Panthera uncia (snow leopard) is the source of this 3813-nucleotide long non-coding RNA. RefSeq lists it as uncharacterized. NCBI's taxonomy places the organism in Eukaryota, Metazoa, Chordata, Mammalia, Carnivora, Felidae. The record is from RefSeq and is a predicted model, not a curated record. The transcript is spliced from 4 exons.
AAAGUUAAACAAAAACAAGCUAAAAGCUUGUUCUUUGAAAAGUUUAAGAGAACUGACAUACCCCCAUUAAGACAUCAAUAAAAAAAGAGAAAAAGUAACAUCAGGAAUGAAAAAUACAUUAUCAUUGGAGACUACACCAACAAUGAAAAGAUGUGAUGAUAAAAUGAACAUUUAACAUCAAUUUUAAAAUGUGAAUAAGGGCAAAUACCUCAAAAAAUUAAACUGACAACACAAAUGGAAAAUCUGGAGAGUGUCUUCUGUUAGUGGAAGUUGAAUCAGUUAUUCAAAAGUCCUUCCACAGAGACAACAUAAAGCCUUUUCAGUGAGCUCUUUCAAACAUUUGAGGAAGAAAUUACCUUAAUUUUAAACAAAUUCUUCCAAUAAAUAGAAAAAUGGAAUAUUUCCCAAUUAAGUCCAUCCUAAUCAUGAUACCAAAACAUGACAAAGGCAUCAUGAUGUAUAAUAAGGGACACUGAAAUAGAUACAAAAGAUAGUAUCUCACUACCAAGUGACGUUAAUUCUCAAUGUAUGCAAAUGUGGCUUAACACUUGAGAAACCAAUGUACUCUGCCACGUUAAUUUUUAUAAAGGGAGAAAAAUAGUUAUCUCAACUGAUACAAAUUGGAAAAAGGAUUUGAUGAAAUUUAACAACCAUUUAUAAAAAAUUCUUAGCAAACUAUGAAUAGAACUUCUGUAAACUGCUAUACAGUCUACUAGCAGACAUAUCUGGUGGUAAAAUACUGAAAGUUUUGCCCUUGAGAGCAGGAAUGACACAAGGAUUCCCAUAAUCACUUCUUCUAUUCAACAUUGUACUAGAGAUUCUUGCCAUAUAUAAUAAGGCAAGAAAAGAAAAUGAAUGGCAUAAAGACUAACAAGGAAGAAAUAAAAUAGUCAUUUGCAGAUACUAUGUACAUAGAAAAUCCAAAUGAAUUUACCGACUAUUAGAAUUAGUAGGUGAAUUUAACAAACUUCUUAUAAGUACAGUACUCAAAAGUCACUUAUAUUUAUAAAUCAAUACCAAAUAGAAAAUGGACUUUAUGAAGUGAUAUCAUUUAAAAUAACACUCAAAACAUCCAAGAGCUAAGAAGUCUAAGGGGAGAUGUGUAGAGAUAUUUAUUUCUAUACUGAAAUACACAAACUAUUUUUUAUAUGAAGAACCAAACAAAUAGAAGGAUAUUCCAUUUUUGUGGGUUGGAAGAUUCAAAAAUAUGGAGAUAGUAGUUCUCACCAAACUGGUGUAGACAGUCAACCCAGUCUUACUGAUUCUUGUUAAUUUUUACAGAUGUGCUUUAAGGUAUGUUAAUAUAGGUGGUCUUAUCCUCAGAGGCAGAAUAGGUGUUCUGAACUUUCCUUUAGUGGCCUGAAAGAGGAUAACUGCCCAGAGGUAAUAUGGCUAGCAAGAGAAGAAGGUAGAAGAACGCACAAGCUUCUUUUUUUGACCUUUUUCUUUCUCCUCCACUCUCCCACCAGACUGCUCCAGUCUUGUUCUUCCUGGCUGUGUUCCCUCCUCCUAGGACCCCAGGCUGCAUAAGAAAAAAAGUUUGCUGAUCCCUGAAUUUGAUGAAUGAGUCCGACUAUGAGUUGACUAUUUCACCUGCUAUUCUAAUUUUCUGAUUGAAAAACAAAAUGUGUUACCCUCCCAACUGUGAAAAUUCUUUUCAAGUCCAUGUCCACAAAUUACCCAACAGAAUCUUCCUGAGCCAAUACAGAGAAUAAGGGAAACGAAGACCCGGUUGACCUGAUGUUGCCUCUAGCUACUGUCUCCAUCAUCUGCCUGCACAGUCUAGCUACGUGACAGCAGCUGCACUCUCCUGUCUCAGUCUUCAGCCCGCUGCUUCUGGUUUCUGCCAUUCUUGCAGAAUGGCUUUGAAGUCAUCAAAUCCAGUGACCUUUAUGCUACCCACUCUCCUUGAGCCAUUUGGUACUGUGGAACAAUUCCUCCUUCUUGAAACAUCCCCUUUCCGUGACUUCAAGGUUACCCCUCUUUCCAGACUUUUCCCCAUCAUCUCUAGCUCUUCCGGCUCAGUCUCCUUCACUGCGUUCUCUUCCUUCACCUGCUCUUUAAAAAACUACGAUUAUUAAAGUCUGACAUACAUACAGAGAAGUGUACAAAUCCUGACUUUACAGACCAAUUUUUACCAGCUGAACAUACCCAAGUAACUGACACAUAGAUCAAAAAAAAAAAAAACUGUUUCCAGCACCCCCAGAAAUACCCCUUGCACCCUCUUACAGCCGCCCCGCGCUCCUAAAGAGUGACCACCAUCUAGACUUUGAACGUCAGAGAUGUGUUUUGCCUGUGUUUGAACUUUAUAUAAAUGUGGACGAACAUGUUUUGUGUCAGGCUUUUUUUGCUCAGCAUCUGGAUGGUAGAACUGUCCAUAUAUAUUUUUUUUUGUAGGUGCACUUUGUUCAUGCUUACUGCUGUAGGAGAUUUGACAGAGAGAAUACUCCACAGUUCAUGUAUCUGUUCUUCUGUGAUGGGCAUUUGGUGAGUAUCCACACGUUGCUGUUAGAAAGUGUGCCAUGAUAAAACCCUCAGUGCCUGCUUUUUAAACAGUGAGCUCUCUAGAUUUCAAGACCUCCCUUUUUACGUGGUGUCCAGAGUGGCUCUGGAAUAUUUGGGGAGGCAGAGAUUGCUUAAACAUGAGAGCCGUGCCUCCUCUCACUAAGUAAGUUAGAAGCUUGUGGACAUGUUUCAGGUGAAUAUGUUUUCAAAUAGUACUAUUUUUACACACUAAAAUGUAAUAUCUAUAUGCCAGUUGAACAACAAUAACAACGUGAAGUCCAAAAUUCUUACAGGAAAGACUAAAUUAGUGCCAGCUAUGUGCAAGAUUCUCAUAGUAGAGAUUAAAUUAGUAAAAUAUAAUUUAUUUCUCAGUGUAUAGAGCCUAUGAUUCCAUAAUUCCACUGAAUGCUUAAGUUCUAUUAGUUGGUAUUAAUUUCUACUCCACAAUAAUUAGUGACGGGACCUGGUUCUCUUUUAUGACACUAUGUAAAUGUCCCUAGCAAGGCAAAGUAGAAAAUGGGCAUACCAUUCUUGCUGCAGUGAACGGCCACCUCAAAAGGAUAGCUCCAAGCCCCAAAAUUCAUUAAUGAGACCAUAUCAAGUAAGAGUCAAGACUGAUUAAUACAUAAAAUCAAGGUGUAGAUAUUUUAGGUAAAAGCAAAGUUCUGGGAUUAUACUCAUAUCAAGUCUAUAAAGACAUUUUUUUUAAUGCUUAUUUAUUUUUGAGAGAGAAAGACAGAGCAAGAGUGGGGGAGGGGCAGAGAGAGAGGGAGACACAGAAUCGGAAGCAGGUUCCAGGCUCUCAGCUGUCAGCACAGAGCCUGACACGGGGCUUGAACUCGUGAACUGCGAGAUCACGACCUGAGCCGAAGUCGGACGCUCAACUGACUAAGCCACCCAGGUGCCCCUAAAGACAUUUUUUAUGUAUUUUGCUAUUGUUUAAUAAUUAAGAAACUAUUUUUAUUUUUAAUCAUUCUCAAAAAAAAUGUAAAUCCAAAUCUAGAAAUUAGUUAGUACUGGCAUGUAAUAGAUAUUCAUUUUAUGCUAUCCUGAGGACUCAGGGAAACAUGCACUACCUCCAUUCUCAUGAUUUCUAACUUUUUCUCCUCCAAAGAUAUUUUUAAAUAUGGAACUUUUAGAGAUUAUUUUUCUAGAGAAAUUCCUCUACUCUGUGCCAAAUGGUUUUGAAAUAUUCAUCAUUUCUCUCUGACGAUGAACUAUGUGGUAUUGCUUCUGCUUUGAAAAACAAAGGAAAAAUGUGUUUACAGUUUCACUUUGAGAAUUCUUAUAACAGUGAAUGGUAAAUAC